GUGAAAUAAAACCUGAAGCGAUCGUUUGUGAAAGAUCAAAUCAAAUAAAAGGUCACGGUGGAUCCGGAGUCUGUCCCGGGAAUGCUAGGUGUGAGGCGAGGCAGGAAUACACCCUGGUCCGUCGCAGAGCGCCAUUCACACAUACGUUCAUACCGAUCCGCGACUUACAGUCACCAGUUCACCUAAUGACAUGUUUAUGGACAUGUAAAGAACCCGGAGAACCCAGAGAACCUACAAUGACCCGGGGAGAACACGAGGAACUCCACGCAGACGUCUCUGACAGGUCCCCGGUCCGAACGGCGAGAAACAACAGGAACACGCUUCACGUCUAGAAUCGGCUCCCGAGCUUUUGUUGACUUUCUCGUCUGUGAGUUGAUGAUGCAGUAACACGCCGCUGGCUGAGAAACCCCGAGCCGUCCGUCCUCCAAAAUCCCCUACGAUUCAAACGUGUGGACAUAUCGCUAUCGUUUUAUACGGGACUGUCUGGAAAAAAGUCAGGAAACACUGAGCUAAUAUGUCCAGCCGGAUAGAUCGAGAUAUCCAUAUUGAGAAAACGCGUACAGCGUUCAGUGCCCUUCACUAAUAUUGGCACCCUUGCUAAAUAUGAGCAACUUUUUGUCUUUAUUGUUUAACCUUCAAAAAAAGUUCACAAAAAUACUUUGAAAAAAUAAUUAUUUUUUAAAUUUCC
Ictalurus punctatus (channel catfish) is the source of this 688-nucleotide long non-coding RNA. The record is from Ensembl. NCBI's taxonomy places the organism in Eukaryota, Metazoa, Chordata, Actinopteri, Siluriformes, Ictaluridae.